This 90-nucleotide transfer RNA is filed under the name Lactobacillaceae bacterium. RNAcentral describes it as "tRNA-Ser". It matches the Rfam family "tRNA". From Rfam's summary of the family: Transfer RNA (tRNA) molecules are approximately 80 nucleotides in length. Their secondary structure includes four short double-helical elements and three loops (D, anti-codon, and T loops). The record is from RNAcentral. Lineage: Bacteria; Bacillati; Bacillota; Bacilli; Lactobacillales; Lactobacillaceae.
GGACAGGUGGCCGAGCGGCUGAAGGCACACGCUUGGAAAGCGUGCAUACGGGAAACCGUAUCAAGAGUUCGAAUCUCUUCCUGUCCGCCA